CCUAAACUUGUAGCAGUGACCUGGAGAACUGUGAGCGCCUGCUCCACAGGGAAUAAGGCAGUGUCCGGGGAACCGUUAGCUUCCCUCAGGGCAAUUAUUUACCCUUCACAUUAAAUUCUGCUCAAGUCACUUACAAUUCAUUUUCCAAACACAGGCCCAGCUACUUGGAUGUGAGCAAGAAAGCAAAAACAAAACAAAAUUUCAACUUCAUCUUGGUGACCGUGAUCAUUCCCGCCAAGUCUCCUGAAAACGAAUGUGGCACAGAAAAGGAGGAAAAUGUAAACUGGGCUGGAAUUAAGCUAUUACUUUCAUCCAUCAAGCGUCAGGAGCUCCCCAGCCUAGAAUUUACCUGGCUUUAAUAGUUUGUAAGGGGUUGACUUUGAUUCUGAACCCAAAUGCCACGCCCCUCCCCCAAAAAACCACACACACACAGGCAGACACACGAAUACAUGCACAUCGGCUUCUGUAAUGAUGCCAACACAGACAAGGAAGGGAAGUCAAGAUUGAGGGCAGGGAGAACGGUGGGGAUUAGAACAAGCCCAGCAGGUCGCGUCGACACAGCACUUCCUUCAAGCGCCGCCAGCUCUUGCAGAUGCCAUCUCGGUAAUCCCGCGUGGCGCUCUGCGCUCUGGCACCGCGACGAGGUGGUGCAGCCGGCGGUGAGGCUGGAACCUGAACCUCCGGCUCCUGACGCACAGGCCAUUGUCCUCAGCACUCAACCGCGCCACCUUCCUGUCAGGUGUCUGGUAAACAGGUCAACUGAUCUGCGAUUAGGGUGCCUCCAGCCUACGUGCAGAGUGGCUGGUGGAAUGCAGCCUUUCCUUAUUCAUAGGAAAUGUUUAAGCACGAAUCAGUGAAGCGAGGGGGAGGGGGGGUUCGAAUAUCGUCUUUCACUGGAGAAAACGGAGUCUGAGCGCCUGCUCAGGGGGGGUGCGACCUGAGCGGGAAGCCGAUGUCUCUGGGGACGCUGAGUGACAAGCCCCGGGACCCAGCGGCCGGCGAAAGAGGAAAACAAGUCGCACUGGUUAAAUUUUUUUUGUACUCUGAAAUGCCACUGCACAUUCCUUUUAAAAAAAGAAAGAAAGAGAAAGAAAAAGGUCUUGAGAAAUAAAAUGAUCGGCGUCAGAAUUGCGGGCUGGAAGGCAGACAAAGUGUAGCUUCUAGCCCGGGCCUGGGGGGUGCGCCUGGGGGGGCGGGCCUAGGGGCGCACCCCGUGGGGCCUGCGCUUCCCCAAGCCAUCGGGGGUGACGAGGUGGCGACUCCGACUUUGUGGCGGCUGUUUUCACGCAAGAACCGGCCCCCGCCCACCCGGCCUGCGCGCUGCGGUCCCGGGCGCAAGGGCCUUUCAGAGGCGCGGUCGGCAAAUGCAACGUCAGCUCUGGGGGAUCGCGCGCGAGUGGGGCGCGGGCGGCCCGCAGCGCCGCUCUUUCACAGCCCCAGGCCCGUGGGCGUCUGGCAGCCUCCGGGCCCCUCCCGGGGUGUCCCCGUGACCUCGGGUCCUCUCCAGAGAUGUCUGUGUAGCCUCCGGUCCCCUCCAGGGGCGUCCCCAUGGCCUCCGGUCCCCUCCAGGGGCGUCCCCAUGGCCUCCGGUCGCCUCCCCGGCCCCCCAGGGCUCCUGCAGCGUCCUGCGCUGGUGCAACUUGCUGGAAACCCAGAGGCAAGAUGAAACCCUGGAGGGAGAAACCCGGGAAGAAACCUGACCUAAUCUAGGAUGAAACACCUUCCACUGAGGAUAUUCAAAAGAACGCUCUGCCAAUUUUGAAGGCAAUUCCAAAAGGAAAUUGCUUUGAACAAUAGCGACGGAGUUGAAAUGAGUAUUUUGCCUACCCCGGUAACCUGCAUCGGAGGAUAUACCACUCAUCAAAAUAUGUAUGCUCUGUGAUAUUUGCAAAAGAAUCUGUCGCUUUAUUUUCUAUUCCUGCCUCUUUCAUCUAAAUAAAAUGCGUGUACAUUUGGAA
Molecule: long non-coding RNA, 1958 nt
Organism: Hipposideros armiger (great roundleaf bat)
Lineage: Eukaryota; Metazoa; Chordata; Mammalia; Chiroptera; Hipposideridae
Exons: 2
Source: RefSeq, a predicted model, not a curated record